This 72-nucleotide transfer RNA is filed under the name Ovis aries (sheep). It matches the Rfam family "tRNA". Rfam says of the family: Transfer RNA (tRNA) molecules are approximately 80 nucleotides in length. Their secondary structure includes four short double-helical elements and three loops (D, anti-codon, and T loops). Lineage: Eukaryota; Metazoa; Chordata; Mammalia; Artiodactyla; Bovidae. The record is from Rfam by way of RNAcentral.
UCCCAAGUGGCUCAGAUGAUAAAGUGUCUGCCCGCAAUGCAGGAGACUUGGGUUCGAUCCCCAGGUCGGGAA